UACGUAGGUGGCAAGCGUUGUCCGGAUUUACUGGGCGUAAAGGGAGCGUAGGCGGAUACUUAAGUGGGAUGUGAAAUACCUGGGCUUAACUUGGGUGCUGCAUUCCAAACUGGGUGUCUAGAGUGUUGGAGAGGAAAGUGGAAUUCCUAGUGUAGCGGUGAAAUGCGUAGAGAUUAGGAAGAACACCAGUGGCGAAGGCGACUUUCUGGACAAUAACUGACGCUGAGGCUCGAAAGCGUGGGGAGCAAACAGGAUUAGAUACCCUGGUAGUCCACGCCGUAAACGAUGGGUACUAGGUGUAGGAUGUAUCGACUCCUCCUGUGCCGCCGUUAACACAAUAAGUACCCCGCCUGGGGAGUACGGUCGCAAGAUUAAA
This 376-nucleotide ribosomal RNA is filed under the name uncultured bacterium. RNAcentral's name for it is "bacterial SSU rRNA". It matches the Rfam family "Bacterial small subunit ribosomal RNA", at positions 524 to 898 of the family's 1533-position model. The record is from RNAcentral.